Molecule: ribosomal RNA, 465 nt
Filed under: uncultured bacterium
Lineage: Bacteria
Description: partial 16S ribosomal RNA
Rfam family: Bacterial small subunit ribosomal RNA
Source: RNAcentral
CCUACGGGUGACAGCAGUGGGGAAUAUUGCGCAAUGGGCGAAAGCCUGACGCAGCGACGCCGCGUGAGGGAUGAAGGUCUUCGGAUCGUAAACCUCUGUCAGCAGGGAAGAACGGUCACUGUGCUAAUCAGCAGUGAAUUGACGGUACCUGCAAAGGAAGCACCGGCUAACUCCGUGCCAGCAGCCGCGGUAAUACGGAGGGGGCGAGCGUUAACCGGAAUUACGGGGCGUAAAGCGCUCGUAGGCGGUAUGUCAAGUCAAGUGUGAAAUCCCCGCGCUCAACCUGGGAACUGCCUUUGAAACUGGCAAACUGGAGUGUGUGAGAGGAUAGUGGAAUUCCAGGUGUAGCGGUGAAAUCCGUAGAUAUCUGGAGGAACAUCAGUGGCGAAGGCGACUAUCUGGCACAUAACUGACGCUGAGGCGCGAAAGCGUGGGUAGCAAACAGGAUUAGAUACCCUGGUAGUC